This 1355-nucleotide ribosomal RNA is filed under the name bacterium NLAE-zl-P534. RNAcentral describes it as "16S ribosomal RNA". It matches the Rfam family "Bacterial small subunit ribosomal RNA", at positions 95 to 1462 of the family's 1533-position model. The record is from RNAcentral.
GUGGCGGACGGGUGAGUAACGCGUAAAGAACUUGCCUUACAGACUGGGACAACAUUUGGAAACGAAUGCUAAUACCGGAUAUUAUGACUGAGUCGCAUGAUUUGGUUAUGAAAGCUAUAUGCGCUGUGAGAGAGCUUUGCGUCCCAUUAGUUAGUUGGUGAGGUAACGGCUCACCAAGACGAUGAUGGGUAGCCGGCCUGAGAGGGUGAACGGCCACAAGGGGACUGAGACACGGCCCUUACUCCUACGGGAGGCAGCAGUGGGGAAUAUUGGACAAUGGACCAAAAGUCUGAUCCAGCAAUUCUGUGUGCACGAUGAAGUUUUUCGGAAUGUAAAGUGCUUUCAGUUGGGAAGAAGUCAGUGACGGUACCAACAGAAGAAGCGACGGCUAAAUACGUGCCAGCAGCCGCGGUAAUACGUAUGUCGCAAGCGUUAUCCGGAAUUUAUUGGGCGUAAAGCGCGUCUAGGCGGUUUAGUAAGUCUGAUGUGAAAAUGCGGGGCUCAACCCCGUAUUGCGUUGGAAAACUGUUAAACUAGAGUACUGGAGAGGUAGGCGGAACUACAAGUGUAGAGGUGAAAUUCGUAGAUAUUUGUAGGAAUGCCGAUGGGGAAGCCAGCCUACUGGACAGAUACUGACGCUAAAGCGCGAAAGCGUGGGUAGCAAACAGGAUUAGAUACCCUGGUAGUCCACGCCGUAAACGAUGAUUACUAGGUGUUGGGGGUCGAACCUCAGCGCCCAAGCUAACGCGAUAAGUAAUCCGCCUGGGGAGUACGUACGCAAGUAUGAAACUCAAAGGAAUUGACGGGGACCCGCACAAGCGGUGGAGCAUGUGGUUUAAUUCGACGCAACGCGAGGAACCUUACCAGCGUUUGACAUCCCAAGAAGUUAACAGAGAUGUUUUCGUGCCUCUUCGGAGGAACUUGGUGACAGGUGGUGCAUGGCUGUCGUCAGCUCGUGUCGUGAGAUGUUGGGUUAAGUCCCGCAACGAGCGCAACCCCUUUCGUAUGUUACCAUCAUUAAGUUGGGGACUCAUGCGAGACUGCCUGCGAUGAGCAGGAGGAAGGUGGGGAUGACGUCAAGUCAUCAUGCCCCUUAUACGCUGGGCUACACACGUGCUACAAUGGGUAGUACAGAGAGCUGCAAACCUGCGAGGGUAAGCUAAUCUCAUAAAACUAUUCUUAGUUCGGAUUGUACUCUGCAACUCGAGUACAUGAAGUUGGAAUCGCUAGUAAUCGCAAAUCAGCUAUGUUGCGGUGAAUACGUUCUCGGGUCUUGUACACACCGCCCGUCACACCACGAGAGUUGGUUGCACCUGAAGUAACAGGCCUAACCGUAAGGAGGGAUGUUCCGAGGG